This 336-nucleotide small nuclear RNA is filed under the name Peromyscus maniculatus bairdii (prairie deer mouse). RNAcentral describes it as "7SK RNA (ENSPEMG00000003450.2)". It matches the Rfam family "7SK RNA". From Rfam's summary of the family: 7SK was discovered as an abundant small nuclear RNA in the mid-70s but a possible function has only recently been suggested. Two independent studies have found that 7SK RNA binds the CDK9/cyclin T complex (known as elongation factor P-TEFb). Lineage: Eukaryota; Metazoa; Chordata; Mammalia; Rodentia; Cricetidae. The record is from Rfam by way of RNAcentral.
GGGUAUGCAGACAAUUUGGCUGUAACAUCUGUCACCCCAUUGACCACCAAGGCUGACACAAAUGCUCUGGCUGGCUGGGCAGGUGUCCCGUUCCCCCAUCACUGUUCCAUGUACUGUUCCAUGUGUCCCUCCUGAAGCUGUGUGCUCAGUUGAAGAGGAUAGUCUUUCCCAAAUAGAAGACCAGUCUUCAAUCAGGGCCAUAAGAGUAGCUGCACAGCCUGCUAGAACCUCCAAACAAGCUCUCAAAAGCCCACACCAAACCUGCCUGCUGCCUGUGGAUCAGAAUGUAAAGCUCUCAGGUUCUUCUCCAGCACCAUGUCUAGCUGUGUGCUCCCU